GCCAGGCAUGGUGGCGUGUGCCUGUAAUCCCAGCUGCUUGGGAGGCUGAGGCAGGAGAAUUGCUUGAACCUGGGAGGUGGAGGCUGCAGUGAGCUGAGAUCGUGCCACUGAACUCCAGCCUGGGCAACAGAGCAAGACUCUGUCUCAA
Unclassified non-coding RNA from Pongo abelii (Sumatran orangutan), 148 nucleotides. It matches the Rfam family "Metazoan signal recognition particle RNA". From Rfam's summary of the family: The signal recognition particle (SRP) is a universally conserved ribonucleoprotein. The record is from Ensembl. Lineage: Eukaryota; Metazoa; Chordata; Mammalia; Primates; Hominidae.